This 270-nucleotide ribosomal RNA is filed under the name uncultured archaeon. Its description in RNAcentral is "partial 16S ribosomal RNA". It matches the Rfam family "Archaeal small subunit ribosomal RNA", at positions 477 to 747 of the family's 1478-position model. The record is from RNAcentral.
CGGCACCUCAAGUGGUCAGGAUGAUUAUUGGGCCUAAAGCAUCCGUAGCCGGCGCUGUAAGUUUUCGGUUAAAUCUGUACGCUCAACGUACAGGCUGCCGGGAAUACUGCAGCGCUAGGGAGUGGGAGAGGUAGACGGAACUCGGUAGGAAGGGGUAAAAUCCUUUGAUCUAUUGAUGACCACCUGUGGCGAAGGCGGUCUACCAGAACACGUCCGACGGUGAGGGAUGAAAGCUGGGGGAGCAAACCGGAUUAGAUACCCGAGUAGUCC